AAGUCUGGUGCCAGCAGCCGCGGUAAUUCCAGCUCCAAUAGCGUAUACUAAAGUUGUUGCAGUUAAAAAGCUCGUAGUUGAAUUUCGGGGUUAGUAGGUUGGUCAUGCCUCUGGUAUGUACUGGUCUCACUGAUUCCUCCUUCCUUAUGAACCGUAAUGCCAUUAAUUUGGUGUUGCGGGGAAUUUGGACUGUUACUUUGAAAAAAUUAGAGUGUUUAAAGCAAGCUAACGCUUGAAUACAUUAGCAUGGAAUAAUGAAAUAGGACGUUCGAUCUUAUUUUGUUGGUUUCUAGGAUUGACGUAAUGAUUAAUAGGGAUAGUUGGGGGCAUUAGCAUUCAAUUGUCAGAGGUGAAAUUCUUGGAUUUAUUGAAGACUAACUACUGCGAAAGCAUUUGCCAAGGAUGUUUUCAUUAAUCAAGAACGAAAGUUAGGGGAUCGAAGACGAUCAGAUACCGUCGUAGUCUUAACCAUAAACUAUGCCGACUAGGGAUCGGAUGAUGUUAAUUUUUUAAUGACUCAUUCGGCGCCUUACGGGAAACCAAAGUGUUUGGGU
Molecule: ribosomal RNA, 554 nt
Filed under: Rhizophagus irregularis
Lineage: Eukaryota; Fungi; Glomeromycota; Glomeromycetes; Glomerales; Glomeraceae
Description: SSU rRNA
Rfam family: Eukaryotic small subunit ribosomal RNA
Source: RNAcentral